CAAUGUUGAUUGUCGUAUUUAUAGUAAAUUGUUGAAUGCUAUGGAUAUUUCUGUUUAGACUGUUGUUAGCAAUACCGAUACUAUUAAGGAGUUAUGGGAUGCUUUGGCGGAUUUAUACUCUUCUCUGAAUGAUUUUUUGUGACUCUAUGAUGUUGUUUGUCGGUUGUUGAAGCCGGCUCCUGCUGGUCGGCCUCUGUAGGGAUAUUAUGAGGAUUUUAAAUCAUUUGCUGAUGAGUUUGAUCGGUUAGUCUUGUUUACAUCUAUUUGAGCUACUUUUCAAGAACAAUGAAAUCAAUUUCUAGUCACUUGCUAUCUUAAUGGGCUGGGAGCUGAGUUUGACACUGCUCGGUCACAAAUCCUUUCGGAUGCUCGAGUUCCUUCUCUUAGAGAAGUUCAUCGCCGUGUUCUUCAUAUUGCGAGUAGCGAUGAGGUUAGAGCUGGCCCUUCGGAGGGUGGUGAACAGGCUGUUGCUCUAUAUACGAACAAAGGAGGUGGUCGUGGCGAUGGAGGCCGUGGCGAGGGGGGAGGUCGUAGUAGCACUGCCGGUCGUGGUCGGGAGACUCGCACUUGCAAUUAUUGUAGUAUAGUUGGGCAUCUUCAUAGCUAUUGUCGGAAAUUACAAGCUGCACAUGCAGAUUCUUGUUCACGGACCACAUCUGCUCAUGUUGCAUUUCGGAGUGUGUCUAUGGACCAGAAGGUGAUCACAAUGAGUCCGGACAAGUAUACUCGCUACUUGGAGUUUCGGACCUCAAGGAGUGGGGCUGCGUCUGCCUCUGUUGCAUAGCUAUAGCAGUUGUCUGAUUAUUCCUCUACCUCAACAUGUACAGCUCUUCCUUCCGCUAAUUGGAUUAUUGAUUCAGGUGUCGGUGCUCACAUGAUGAGUAAUAAAGGUAUUCUUACUAUAUAUCAGUCCUCGUCUCCGUUAAGCCAUAUUACUAUUACGAACGGAUCAUCCUUGACGGUUCGGGGACACGGAGUUGCAAAACCUUCUGAUGAGAUCUCCUUAUCUUCUGUUUUAUAUACUCCUGGCAUGCCAUUUAAUUUGUUAUCUGUUGGUCGUAUCACAUGGGAUUUGAAUUGCUCCGUGACUUUCUACCCCGAUUAUUGUGUCUUGAAGGAUCUCUCGAUGCGGAAGACUAUCAGUAAGGGAAGGGUCAAUGGUGGGAUCUACCAGCUGGAUGGUGCGUCUGUUCCAGCUGCGUUAGUAAAAGAGACGGAUGUUUUAGACGUUCGCUAUCAUCCGGGACAUCCCUCUCUAUCUUUGUUGCGGUUCUUAUUUUCUCGUUUUCGUUCGUUGUCUACAAUAAAUGGCAAGUCCCGUCAGCUUGCAAAGCAUAUUCAUGUUUCUUUACCAUCAAGUGUAUCACAACGAGCAACUGCUCCAUUUGCUUUGAUCCAUUCUAAUGUGUGGGGACCUAGUCCUGUUGUAUCAGCCUUUGGUUACCAUUACUAUGUUCCUUUUGUCGAUGAUUUCACAAGAAUGUCAUUUGAUUUACUUAAUAAAAGAACAUUCUGAGUUAUUUUCUAUGUUCCGUGAGUUUUAUUUUUCUGUCCACACUCAAUUCCAUCAUCACAUUCAAGCUUUACAAUCUGAUCGAGGGGGGAAUGUAUGUCGAAUCAUCUCCAUCAAUUUCUCCGUUCUCAUGGUAUUCACCAUUGUCUUUCAUGCCCUUGCAUACCUCAACAAAAUGGUGUUGCUAAGCAGAAGAAUCGCCAUCUUAUGGAUCUUGCUCAUGCUCUUCUUAUACAUAUGCAUGUUCCACAGAAAUUCUGGGGGGAUGCUUUCUUACAGCAUGCUAUCUCAUUAAUCGCAUGCAUCUUUCUUCUCUUGGGGGUAAUACUCCACAUGGGCUCCUCUUUCCUAAUUGAAGUCUCUUUUCCCUUUCCCCUAAACUAUUUGGUUGUACUUGUUUUGUCCAUGAUGAUCGUCCGGGUGUAUCAAAACUAGAUCCUUGUGCGCUCAAAUGUGUUUUCCUUGGUUACUCACGGGUGUCAAAGUGUUAUCCUUGAUAUUCUCCUAUCUUAGGAAGAAUGUUCACCUCCCGUUAUGUCACCUUUAUAGAGUCUCAGCCUUACUUUUCUACAACUGGCUCUAGUUCAUCUGAUCCAAUCCCGCAAUUAUCCGAGUCCACAUCUUCUAACCAUGUCCUUGUCUAUUCUCCGCCAAGAGUCUCUCGUCCAGUUAUCUCUCCAGCGUCUUCACUAGAUACUACCCCCAUUGUCAAUUCUCCCUCUAAGCCGGUCUCUCCCCUGGAGGAUCCUCUUGUUGAACCGGUCUCUCAUGUAGCCGAUCUACUUACUGUGACCGAUAUAGCUGGGCAGCCUAUUCCUCUUCGUAAGAGCUACUGUGCCUAUAGGGAUCACCCUCUUUAUACACAUUCCUACAUGGGUUUAUUAGUGAGUUUGUCGACUUUUGUGGCUAAUAUUGAUGCUAUUUCCCUACCUACUUCUAUUUCCGUGACUCUUCAGCAUGCGGGUUGGUGUUUGGCCAUGGAGGAGGAAAUGAGUGCCCUCCAACGCAAUCGGACUUUAGUUGAUCUUCCUCCUGGUGCUCGGGUUAUCAACUAUCAUUGGGUGUUUGCGGUGAAGGUCAAUCCCGAUGGAGCUGUUGCUCGUCCGAAAGCCCAGUUGGUUUCUAAGGGUUAUGCUCAAACUCAUAGUCUUGAUUACUUUGAGACCUUCUCCCCGGUUUCAAAAAUGGCCUCUAUUUGCCAUUUCUCAUCCCUUGCAGCUGUACAUUCUUGGUCUCUCCAUCGGUUGGAUGUCAAAAAUGCUUCCUUCACGGUGAUCUUGCUAAGGUUGUCUACAUAGAGCAACCCCCAAGGUUUGCUACUUAGGAAGGGAAAGUUUGUAAGCUUCGUCGCUCUUUGUAUAGUUUGAAGCAGUCUCCUCGAGCAUGGUAUAACAAAUUCAGCUUAGUGGUUCGGAGUUUUGGUUUGCUUCGGUUUCAAAAGGAUCAUGCAGUGGUCUAUCGUCGUGCUACUACUGGGUAUAUAUUUCUGAUUUUAUAUGUGGAUGACAUUGUUUUGACGGGGGAUGACGAGCGGGGUAUUAACGAGCUGAAGAGAUAUUUACAUACUCACUUUGAGACGAAAGACUUGGGUGAUUUGAGAUAUUUUCUUGGCAUCGAGGUGGCUCGGAAGAAAGGAAGUAUUUCUUUGUCGUAGCGUAAGUAUUUUCUAGGUAUUUUGGUUGAAUUUAACAUGUAGCACUCUUGAUCCACAGAGUCGCCUACGGAGCUGUAAUUGAAGCUUCUUCCCGAUCGGGGUGAGUUGUUUGAACGCCAUGAAAGAUAUCGGCGUGCUAUUGGUAAACUAAACUAUCUCACUACAAUGACUAGGCCCGAUCUUGCAUAUUCCAUUAAUGUGGUUAGUCGGUUUAUGGCAACACCUAGACAACCACAUUGGGGUGCUGUUUUGCGGAUUUUAAGGUAUCUUCGAGGUAGUCCCAGCAAGCGGAUUGUUUUAUGGCCACGCUCGAAUGGAGUGUUAUACUGAUGUUGAUUGGGCUAGUUGCCCUACUGAUAGGCGAUCUACUUCUACAUAUGCUUUGUAUGUUGGUGGUCAUUUGGUUUCAUGGAAGAGUAAGAAACAGGACAUUGUUGUGAGGAGUAGUGCUGAAGCCGAGUAUCGGGCCAUUGCUGCAACCACUGCAGAGAUUAUGUGGACUAGACAUCUUCCGACCGAGGUUGGAUAUGGGUCAAGUGGUCCCACUUCAUUAUGGUGUGAUAGUGGUUCAGCGAUUCACAUUGCUUCAAAUCUUCUCUUUCAUGAGAGAACAAAGCACAUUGAGAUUAUUUGUCAUUUCGUUUCACAGGAGCUUACGCGUAAUAGUAUCACUCUCUCGCAUGUUCGUAUUGGAGAUCAGCUAGCAGAUGUGUUUACUAUAUCUUUAGCUAGGCAGCGGGUUCGCUUUAUAUGUAACAUGCUGGGCAUGGUCGAUAUCUAUGCCUCGGCUUGAGGGAGGGUGUUAUGAGUUAUUAUAUUAUUAUUUACUAUCAUAUGUGGGAAUGUCCACCGUAUUACUAUGUACCCUCAUUAUUAUUAUAAAUAGGAGAGCAUGCUAACCUAGAGGGGUAGACAAUUCAUUCA
This is a long non-coding RNA of Rhodamnia argentea, 4091 nucleotides long. RefSeq lists it as uncharacterized. The transcript is spliced from 2 exons. NCBI's taxonomy places the organism in Eukaryota, Viridiplantae, Streptophyta, Magnoliopsida, Myrtales, Myrtaceae. The record is from RefSeq and is a predicted model, not a curated record.